RNAcentral lists this non-coding RNA (50 nucleotides) under Trypanosoma brucei brucei. The record is from RNAcentral. Lineage: Eukaryota; Euglenozoa; Kinetoplastea; Trypanosomatida; Trypanosomatidae.
AUAUUAAUUUCACCGAUAGAUUAGAUUUGUAAGUUUGUAGAUGUAAUAAU